GACGAACGCUGGCGGCGUGCUUAACACAUGCAAGUCGAACGGGCCCGCCCCUGUUUUUGGGGGUGGGUUGAGUGGCGAACGGGUGAGUAUCACGUGAGUAACCUGCCCCCUGCUCCUGGAUAACUGCUUGAAAGGGCGGCUAAUACGGGGUGUGCCGGCUGGUCCGCAUGGGCCUGGUCGGGAUAGUUUCAUCUUCGGGUGUUUCGGUGGGGGAUGGGCUCGCGGCCUAUCAGCUUGUUGGUGGGGUGAUGGCCCACCAAGGCGGUGACGGGUAGCCGGCCUGAGAGGGUGGGCGGCCACACGGGGACUGAGACACGGCCCAGAAUCCUGCGGGAGGCAGCAGUGGGGGGUAUUGCACAAUGGGCGGAAGCCUGAUGCAGCGACGUCGCGUGAGGGAUGGAGGCCUUCGGGUUGUGAACCUCUUUCUCCGGUGGUGAAGGCCCUGUCCGUUGCGGCGGGGUUGACGGUAGCCGGGUAUGAAGCGCCGGCUAACUACGUG
Molecule: ribosomal RNA, 499 nt
Filed under: uncultured bacterium
Lineage: Bacteria
Description: partial 16S ribosomal RNA
Rfam family: Bacterial small subunit ribosomal RNA
Source: RNAcentral